This is a long non-coding RNA of Anolis carolinensis (green anole), 2422 nucleotides long. NCBI's taxonomy places the organism in Eukaryota, Metazoa, Chordata, Lepidosauria, Squamata, Anolidae. The record is from Ensembl.
GUUACUAUCUGAGCCACCUAUGUGGACAAUUUGGGAUUUAAGAGUAUUUUGGAUUUCAAAAUUCUGGAUAAGGGAUAUACUCAAACACACUUCAUUUCCCACUAUUUUCUCACAGUGAAAAUACAUUUAUUCUUUAAGGUAUUAUUAUGACUUUCCACUGGAUGUCUCCCUUCUCCACCUUUGAAGGAAAUGUUCUCUCAGACUUGUUUAUAAGUAGAAACAACUAUGUCUAGAUCUGAAUAAACUUGAACUUGGAAGAAUGCAGACCAGUGUGAUCUUUCAUACUGAGGUAAGCUUUUAAAGCAAGAUGAAAGUGAAAUUCUUCUUAACUCAUGCUGCUUACAUGCUGUAGGUAAUGGACAGAAAACAAACAUUCCAUGUUGAUUCAGAGUGAUUUUUACCAGGCAGGGAUGGUGGAUUACCUUUCCUAGGAUUUUGUUACUAUCAAGCAAAACCCUCCUUCUGUUUCUGAGGCGUACAACAGAGUUGGGAGGACAAUAGCUUUAUAAACUAGCAUCUUGAUAUUCCUACGAAUGUCCUGAUCCUCAAACGCUCUCUGCUUCAUUUAAGAAAAUGCUUCAUUCGCAGAGCUCCGUAUUUCAAUGUUGGUGUUGACUUUUGUGGAGAGGUGGAUGUCUAGGUAGCAGAAAUGAUCAACAUUUGGUAGAGUUACACCAUUAAGCUUUAUUUCUGACAUUGCAAAGGGUUUGGUUAGUGCUGGUUGGCAGACCACUUUGGUUUUCUCAGUGUUCAGUGAGAGGCCAAGCUUUUCAUAUGCUUCUGUAAAGGUGUUUAAAGUGGCUUGGAAGUUUUCCUCUGAAUGAGAACAGACUCUGUUCUAACUAUUCAUCAUAUUACAUUUUGCUCUAUGGGCAUUCUAUUGAUGUCUGUGAACAUAAUGUCUAUUUAUUGUGAAGGCAAUACCAAAAGGAAAGUAUAAACCAUGCCAGCUAAUUUCCUGCCAGCAUGGAAAAAAUCAUUUCUGGACUAUGAAAUUUUGAGCCAGCGACUUCACAGAUCUUUGUGUUUCUUCCUAUUUCAGGCUUCCUCGAGAUUACUGGUAUAUAAACAUGCUAUGGUGCGUUGCUUUCUUUCCAAGAAUGGUUGUGGGGGCCUCAAUAAGACUCCCAGUUAACAACCUGCCCCUGCCACUCCAAAUCUUUGCCCAUCUUGGUGUUGAAAAACCCGUUUGGAAAGUUGCUUGAUUUUUUUUCUUUCAAUUAUUUCUUCUCAUACAACAGCCACUCACUAUUUUCUUGGACUUGUGUAGACUGUGUACCUGCACAAUACAAGAAGCUAUGUUUCAUCCAGUACAUAAUUUGACACACUCCUGCACGUGAGACUGCAUGACAUUUGGGUAUAUGUGUACUUACUCAUGUGAUUCCUAUAUAGAAAACUGAGCUCACUGCAAAUACUUGUCUCCAGUUUUUUAUGGUAGUCCAGGAGGACCCCCAAAUUGUAGACCUAUGUAUUCAGGGGGAUGUAACCCCAUCCAACACAUGCUGAAUUCCUGCUCCCUGAUUUGCCUUUCAACAGAUUAGGAGCAGCUCUGUGUUAUCUGGAUUAAGAAUAAUUUCUUUGUUGGUAACUGCCCUGAGUCCCCAAGAGGAGAUAGGGUGGGAUAUAAAUAAAUAUUAUUGACAUUGUCAUCAUCAUCAUCAUCUUUGUAUCAGAAAGGAGGAGGUUCAGAUACUGAACCUCCUCACCAGUACAUAUUCUUCCAAAUCUUUAAUGAUCCUGCUUUUAAUUAUGCUCUCCAGGAAUAUACCAAGACCUGAUGUAAAUUCAGUUUCACUCAUCUAUAAGUUCUAGAACCUUCAUUCAAACUCCUUUAAAAAAAAAGCACUAUUACAUUGGCUACUUUCUAAUGCUUUAGUAAGAAGUGUCAGAACCCUGCUACUAGAGCCUGGAUGUGGCUCUGAGUUUCAGGGUCACUGACAUUGAUAAGACACCUGCGUCUCAGGACUCGGAGAAGAAACGGGUGCUGGACUUGGCGGGGAAUCUGCGCGGGGUUUUGCUGAGCAGGAAGAGACUUUUCAAAUGAGGGGGAGGGUAUAUAAAGGAUGGUUGGCCGGAGCCUCCCAUUCUUGGCUUUUCUGAUGUUUAUGUUUCCUGCAGUAAAGUUUCUGGUGAUAUCACAGAGAGUCUCGUGUGUUCAUUCAGGAGCGGCUGUAGUGAGCUGACACUAAGCCAAGAAUUCGGACACCAUCGCGCUGUAGCGGUGAGGUGCAACAUGCAAGUGGAGGAUGAAGAGCUCUUGGGCGCAGGAGGAGGAAGGUCGGGAAGGUCCACUCCCGAGCCGGACGCUGAGUUCCACCAGCUGGCGCCCUGGCGUCAUCCACCACUUAUGCCCAGCCGAAUGGGGUAAGCCAGAGGCGUGGAGUGGUGCAGGGAGACAGCACCGGAGGAGAGGAAGAUUUAC